GAUGAAGAACGUAGCGAAAUGCGAUACUUGGUGUGAAUUGCAGAAUCCCGUGAACCAUCGAGUCUUUGAACGCAAGUUGCGCCCGAAGCCAUUAGGCCGAGGGCACGCCUGCCUGGGUGUCACACGUCGUUGCCCCCCCAUCUACUCCUUCGGGAUUGCGGGGGGCGGAUGAUGGCCUCCCGUGCGCCUCGUCGCGCGGUUGGCAUAAAUGCCAAGUCCUCGGCGACGCACGCCACGACAAUCGGUGGUGGCGAAACCUCGGUUGCCCGUCGUGUGCGGUCGUCGCGCAUCGAGGGCUCGAAAAAAUUGCCGGGCUCCGGCUCGGCUUUCAACGCGACCCCAGGUCAGGCGGGGUUACCCGCUGAAUUUAAGCAUAUCAAUAAGCGGAGGA
RNAcentral lists this unclassified non-coding RNA (391 nucleotides) under soil metagenome. Its description in RNAcentral is "partial contains 5.8S ribosomal RNA, internal transcribed spacer 2, and large subunit ribosomal RNA". The stretch from base 1 to 122 matches the Rfam family "5.8S ribosomal RNA", at positions 35 to 154 of the family's 154-position model. The record is from RNAcentral.